CACAAGAGUGUUCACAUAAGCGCAAAAAAUGCUGACCAAUAGGUCUGACUUCUUUUGGAGGGUUGAAACGUCCUUAGAGUGCUGCAGCUUUCUAAUGGCUUGUCAUGGUUGUGUGUUUCCAGUUGAACCAGCAGGUGACACUGUUGCUCCUCUGGUCAGUUGUUCCUCUGGGAAAGAGUUCAACAGGAAACAGGAAGUACCUGAACACUGAUUAACAGAUGAUUCAGUAUGCAGACUGGUGCAGAACAGAGUUUCAACACAACAUUGACAACAUUCAGAUGUGUAUCACACUGUUGUCAUGGUGAAAGAAAACCUCAGCUUAUAACCAGUGUUGGGCAAGUUACUUCCAGAAUAAAUGGUCCAGACUCUUCAGAGUUUAACUGACUGUGUUUAAAGAUGGAUUUUAUAAUAAGGAGGUCAGCAUUGACGCAGCACUGCUCCAUAAACCACUGGAACCACGCGCUCUAUUGUUUCAUGAUGUGAAAUGGAGCAGCAAGUUGGACAAACACUCGCUGAGCAAUCUCACCAAUCGGUCCCAAAACGUCCCAGUUAGAG
Long non-coding RNA from Sander lucioperca (pikeperch), 555 nucleotides. RefSeq lists it as uncharacterized. NCBI's taxonomy places the organism in Eukaryota, Metazoa, Chordata, Actinopteri, Perciformes, Percidae. The transcript is spliced from 4 exons. The record is from RefSeq and is a predicted model, not a curated record.